RNAcentral lists this ribosomal RNA (482 nucleotides) under uncultured bacterium. Its description in RNAcentral is "bacterial SSU rRNA". It matches the Rfam family "Bacterial small subunit ribosomal RNA", at positions 28 to 529 of the family's 1533-position model. The record is from RNAcentral.
GACGAACGCUGGCGGCGUGCUUAACACAUGCAAGUCGAACGGUGACGAGGAGCUUGCUCCUCUGAUCAGUGGCGAACGGGUGAGUAACACGUGAGCAACCUGCCCCAGACUCUGGGAUAACAGUUGGAAACAGCUGCUAAUACCGGAUACGAGACGGAGAGGCAUCUCUACCGUCUGGAAAGUUUUUCGGUCUGGGAUGGACUCGCGGCCUAUCAGCUAGUUGGUGAGGUAAUGGCUCACCAAGGCGACGACGGGUAGCCGGCCUGAGAGGGCGACCGGCCACACUGGGACUGAGACACGGCCCAGACUCCUACGGGAGGCAGCAGUGGGGAAUAUUGCACAAUGGGCGAAAGCCUGAUGCAGCGACGCCGCGUGAGGGAUGAAGGCCUGGUUGUAACUCUUCAGCAGGAAGAAGCGAAAGUGAGGUACCUGCAGAAGAAGCGACCGGCUAACGUACGUGCCAGCAGCGCCGGUAACACGAG